Non-coding RNA from Nomia melanderi (Alkali bee), 1154 nucleotides. NCBI's taxonomy places the organism in Eukaryota, Metazoa, Arthropoda, Insecta, Hymenoptera, Halictidae. The record is from RefSeq and is a predicted model, not a curated record.
AAUGAAUGCAUUCCGAUCGCAAGAAUCCGCCCCUAUCAAUCAGCGCGGCCGCAUCUUCGCAGAAUCGAUUGCCCGCCGGCCGAGGGGACGAUGCGAAUAAUCGCAAUUUAAUGAUAGAACCACCGAGCAGUUGACUUUUUUCAAUUUGUCCGUGGAAACCGAGAGUGCUAUCGGGAUUUCGAUUAACUUACACCUCGCGUGUUACUAAAUCAAUUCAGUAUUUUUUCAGAGAAGCAUUUGUUCUCUUUAUAAUUGCGAAAGAAUUCAGGUAGUUUCAGCGUAGAUUCCGUGCCUCUGGCAAUAUUCGUUCCUAUCGGUGCAACUGCAAUCUAUGCCACCUAACCUACGGAAAUGCACUGUGCAGCAGUGCGCUAUUUCUGCAAAUCAUCUGUAAAUCCAACCGUAGAGCCAAUUUAUUUUUACGCUUACGUCUGCAGCACUGAGGAAGGAGUAGAAUUGUAGAACACUGAAUACUAGCUGUCCAAGUUUUAAAUAUUUCAAGAUGAACAACCGACUAGAACCUUCUCGUCGAAUCGAAGACUUUGCGAGGGAACCGAAAGCUGUCCAAAGCUACGAGAAGGAAAUAUAUUGGAAAAGCGCGCGGUUUGCCGACAGCGAGGCGGAGCAAUAAUUAUUUAUGUACCGUCGAUUAGCCGAGCGUCACGCGUCGCAACUCCUCGGAAGUUGUCGUUAACUUCUGGCAAGGUCUUAUUGAUUCCACGCGUUCCACGGCUACGUGGUGCAAGUCCGUCCGUCCGCCGGCGACCGGCUGAAUCACCGGCCGCGAGACGAUCAACGAUUCAGGAAAACAGACGCCCGACGACGAUGGCGAGCUUGAACUUAUCGCGCGAUCGUUAAGCGUGUGCUGGCGUCAAUGUUGUUCACCCUUGAACCGGCAAUGUGAACAGAGGACUAGAUACUAGACUACAGAUGCUCGUUUGAAUUCAGGUUUCUAAGGAUUAGACGCAGUAAUUAAAAGCUUGCUACCUGUACACAUGGUUUUGCCAGGCUGAAGAGCGAGGAGUAUCAAUGAAUUGGGAAUGCUCAAGAUUCCAGCGACCUUGAUCCGUGUCACAGACGACACCGAGGAUCCCAUACGGUGCACGAUUUAUUUCCAACUUGUUGACGACCACUCAACUUUGGAACCCGCUCGU